GACCUCAGCUCAAGCAAGAGUACCCGCUGAACUUAAGCAUAUCAAUAAGCGGAGGAAAAGAAACUAACAAGGAUUCCCCUAGUAACGGCGAGUGAAGAGGGAAAAGCUCAAAUUUUAAAUCUACUUGGUUCGUCCCAGGUCGAGUUGUAAUUUGAAGAAGCGAUAUCGGUGUUGAGGUCUGGUUUAAGUUCUUUGGAACAAGACAUCAUGGAGGGUGAGAAUCCCGUGCAUGAUCAGACCGAGAUACUAAGUAUAUGCUUUCUAAGGGUCGAGUUGUUUGGGAAUGCAGCUCAAAAUGGGUGGUAGACUUCACCUAAGGCUAAAUAUCAGCGAGAGACCGAUAGCGAACAAGUACUGUGAAGGAAAGAUGAAAAGAACUUUGAAAAGAGAGUUAAAUAGUACGUGAAAUUGUUGAAAGGGAAACGAUUGAAG
This 432-nucleotide ribosomal RNA is filed under the name Diversispora aurantia. RNAcentral's name for it is "partial 28S ribosomal RNA". It matches the Rfam family "Eukaryotic large subunit ribosomal RNA", at positions 1 to 428 of the family's 3401-position model. The record is from RNAcentral. Lineage: Eukaryota; Fungi; Glomeromycota; Glomeromycetes; Diversisporales; Diversisporaceae.